This 297-nucleotide long non-coding RNA is filed under the name Drosophila guanche. The record is from RNAcentral. Lineage: Eukaryota; Metazoa; Arthropoda; Insecta; Diptera; Drosophilidae.
GUAAGGACCACCCCGUUAUGUAUGUAUGCAGUGGGUUGCUACAUAAGGGAGGGUUCUUUGCCAGUGCCAGUGGCAGUGGUCCCUGUCCCUGUCCUCGUUCUCGUUCCCGCCAUCGUCCUCCAAGGGCUGUGCGGCAAAAAGCAAAGUAAAGCGCUAUAAGAGCAAAUAUGGCUGCCAACACCCGAAUUCGACACGUAAAGUGACGCGUUAGCUGCGUUGCUAUGACAACCCAAAGGCCUCAUGCCUCCUGCCCAUCCUGCUGUUUGCGUUCCUCCAUUUGCUCUCACGGUGGUGCUU